UACGGAGGGUGCAAGCGUUAAUCGGAAUUACUGGGCGUAAAGCGCACGUAGGUGGUUUGUUAAGCUAGCUGUGAAAUCCCCGGGCUCAACCUGGGCACUGCAGUUAGAACUGGCAAGCUAGAGUAGGGUAGAGGGGUGUGGAAUUCCAGGUGUAGCGGUGAAAUGCGUAGAUAUCUGGAGGAACAUCAGUGGCGAAGGCGACACCCUGGACUCAUACUGACACUGAGGUGCGAAAGCGUGGGGAGCAAACAGG
This 253-nucleotide ribosomal RNA is filed under the name uncultured bacterium. RNAcentral's name for it is "partial 16S ribosomal RNA". It matches the Rfam family "Bacterial small subunit ribosomal RNA", at positions 524 to 776 of the family's 1533-position model. RNAcentral also lists the same sequence under 2 other names. The record is from RNAcentral.